RNAcentral lists this small nuclear RNA (108 nucleotides) under Castor canadensis (American beaver). Lineage: Eukaryota; Metazoa; Chordata; Mammalia; Rodentia; Castoridae. The record is from RNAcentral.
GUACUUGCUUCAGCAGCACAUACACUAAAAUUGGAACAAUGCAGAGAAGAUUAACAUGGUUCGUGCACAAAGCUUGACAUACAAAUUUGUGAAGUGUUCCAUAUUUUA